UGAAUGUGCAGCAGAAUCAUUUCCCUGAAUUCCAGCCCUACGUUCUGCCUGCUUUCUUCCAGAAGCUUUUAAUUUUAUAAUGGGAAGAGGAGACGUGCACUCCACCCAGGUUAUGGUUGGGUGUUUCUCAGCAGUUGCAUGACUCAAGAUCUAACACAUGCAGUUAAAAAUCGUUCUUUUCCUUUUCUUAUCAUGGCAAAUGAAGAAGCUAAAACCCAAUGUGCUAAAGAGCACCAUGAUCCUUAUGCCCAUCUUCUCUUCCAUCCUUUUGAAGGCAUUUUUCAACAAAUCUGAACUGAAAAUAGAAUUAUUUCUCCAUUACUCUUAAGAGGAAAGCAUUGAUUCAUACAGUGGAAAACCAAAAGCAAAACAAACCAAUAUCUCAACCUGGAUGAAAAGCUGAAGAAGACAUUUUAAUCUGAAAAUAUUAGCAGUGAAGUUGGGAAAUUCACACUUUUAACUGCAGGAAAUUAGAAGUACUUCUGGAAAGCCUAUGAUCAAAGCUUAGUUACUAGAAUUCUAUCCACCAUCAUAGUUUUAAGAUGGACUUCCAUUUUUAUUUUUCCUCUGUGUACAGUAGGGCCUUGGGUUAGUCAAUGGCUUCCAUUUUUGCAUGUAGAAUAUGUUUAGGCAACUAUUUAGAUAGCCAGGAUUUAUACUGUUAAAUUUUGUCUAAGGUCUAGAUUAAUAAGUCAGACAUGCCUGAGGGAGAUUUUUUUUGCUGUGCUCAAUGAGUUUUAGAUCAGAGUCUAAGUGUUCCUGCUCUCACAUAUAAAUAUCAUUGUGUACAUCCAUAUUUCUUCUAACUGUUUGUACAUAGCAGAUAUCUAUAUAUAUCCCUUUCUGUUCCUUGUAGACAUCUGUUUAAGUAGGCCCCCUUGUUCACUGUGAGAACUGAGCAUCUAACAUAAAUUGCAGCUGAGGCAGGAAAAGCCUGACAUCUCAUUUAUUAGCUUUAUUAAUCUUAUGAUAAAUUAAACUGGCUGCACCCUUAAAAGGAAACUUGUAUAUGUCACGACAUGGAAUAUUGAAACCUCAUCUAACUUGUUCAGAAUGAUGCUUGUUAUUAAUUAGAAAAUUGUAACCUGAGGGACUUCAUUUGAAAACGUCAGCAUUUAUUAUUAACAUAAUUUCUUUAGCUUUACAAAAUAGGCUUUUUGAUAUUGCUCAGAGCAAUGUGUGCAAAAGUUAGUUUAAUGAGAAGUAUAAUUUGAUUUUAUUAAUGUUGUAUGUUAGACUUCACAUGUAUGACAAACUAAGCAUAUGAGCAAGGUUUUGAAGCUUCUUACUGAAUAUAAGAGGUACUUCAAGACAGAAGAAGAGAGAAUAAUCUGACUUUAUUAAUAUAAAUAAAUUAAUUAUAUGUCUUGCUAAUUUAAAGUUG
RNAcentral lists this long non-coding RNA (1384 nucleotides) under Parus major (Great Tit). RNAcentral describes it as "lncRNA (ENSPMJG00000006179.1)". Lineage: Eukaryota; Metazoa; Chordata; Aves; Passeriformes; Paridae. The record is from RNAcentral.